Molecule: ribosomal RNA, 465 nt
Filed under: uncultured Gammaproteobacteria bacterium
Lineage: Bacteria; Pseudomonadati; Pseudomonadota; Gammaproteobacteria
Description: partial 16S ribosomal RNA
Source: RNAcentral
GACUACAGGGGUAUCUAAUCCUGUUUGCUCCCCACGCUUUCGUGCCUGAGCGUCAGUCUUCGUCCAGGGGGCCGCCUUCGCCACCGGUAUUCCUCCAGAUCUCUACGCAUUUCACCGCUACACCUGGAAUUCUACCCCCCUCUACGAGACUCUAGCUUGCCAGUUCGAAAUGACCAUCCCAGGUUGAGCCCGGGGCUUUCACAUCUCGCUUAACAAACCGCCUGCGCACGCUUUACGCCCAGUAAUUCCGAUUAACGCUCGCACCCUCCGUAUUACCGCGGCUGCUGGCACGGAGUUAGCCGGUGCUUCUUCUGUCAGUAACGUCAAUGCAAUGAGGUAUUAACUCAUUGCCCUUCCUCCUGACUGAAAGUGCUUUACAACCCGAAGGCCUUCUUCACACACGCGGCAUGGCUGCAUCAGGGUUUCCCCCAUUGUGCAAUAUUCCCCACUGCAGCCGCCCGUAGG